Molecule: ribosomal RNA, 426 nt
Filed under: uncultured bacterium
Lineage: Bacteria
Description: partial 16S ribosomal RNA
Rfam family: Bacterial small subunit ribosomal RNA
Source: RNAcentral
GUGAGGAAUUUUCCGCAAUGGGCGAAAGCCUGACGGAGCAAUGCCGCGUGAAGGAUGAAGGCCUAUGGGUUGUAAACUUCUUUUCUCAGAAAAGAAUUAUGACGGUAUCUGAGGAAUAAGCAUCGGCUAACUCUGUGCCAGCAGCCGCGGUAAGACAGAGGAUGCAAGCGUUAUCCGGAAUGAUUGGGCGUAAAGCGUCUGUAGGUUGUUUAAACAGUAUUCUGUCAAAGAUUAGGGCUUAACCCUAGAUAGGCAGAAUAAACUUUUAAGCUAGAGUUUGGUAGAGGCACAGGGAAUUCCCGGUGGAUCGGUGAAAUGCGUAGAUAUCGGGAGGAACACCAAAGGCGAAGGCACGCUGCUGGGCCAAUACUAACACUGAGAGACGAAAGCGAGGGGAGCAAAUGGGAUUAGAAACCCGGGUAGUCC